Molecule: small nucleolar RNA, 134 nt
Organism: Puntigrus tetrazona (Sumatra barb)
Lineage: Eukaryota; Metazoa; Chordata; Actinopteri; Cypriniformes; Cyprinidae
Product: small nucleolar RNA SNORA13
Exons: 1
Source: RefSeq, a predicted model, not a curated record
UGCCUUUAAUGUGUUACCCGUUCGUUGCUUCUCUGAUGAAUGUGGUGUCAAAUAGGGCAGACAGUAAUGCAUGAGGUGGCUGAUGAAAGGCAUUUACAUCUGUGCCUUUCAAAUGCGUCAUGUCAUGGAUAUUA